This is a non-coding RNA of Prunus avium (sweet cherry), 911 nucleotides long. NCBI's taxonomy places the organism in Eukaryota, Viridiplantae, Streptophyta, Magnoliopsida, Rosales, Rosaceae. The record is from RefSeq and is a predicted model, not a curated record.
UACGGUGGACCUGGCGCAUCCAUGCGCCAAUAGAUAUUGACCGUUAGAUUUAGGCAAAACAAUAAGGAUAGAUCUACACCAUUAAAUGAUAUAACUUGAAAACCUUCUCAGCAGGUUGAAGGAAAAUCCCCAACCCGUAAAAACUGAGCCCCCUCUUUCACUCCCUUCAUCUUCUUCUAGCAUCCAGCAAGCAACCAACGACGACGACGAUGAUGGCAAGCUUCACCUGCUCUUUACCCCAUCUCUCGUUCUCUCCUUCGCUGGCUAGCGCUCUGAAAAUUUCCUUCUUUUGCCUCUUUUUCUUGGCUAGCCCUCUCAAAACCCAUCUCUCUUUCUCCCUCUCUCUCUCUCUCUCUCUUGUCAAGCGCUACCUCUCUGGGUUCAUUCUGCUUCUCUCAUACCAAAACCCCCAAAUCUCCAACAUAAAACCCUAAUCCUAGACACCUAAAUCCCUUUCCAAAACUGAAAUUCAUUAGAAAAGGAAGUCAGUAUGGGUUUUCCUCAAAAUCUGGCCACUUCCUGAUCGAAUUGGACUUUGAGCCAAGGUAUAAACUUGCUCCCCUUGUUGUGCUUGAUGUGUUGAUACAUAUGGAUUCUGUGAUUAAGUUUUUCUACACAGAUGGUUGAGACUUUAUGUUAUUCAUCUUCUUAGACCACUUUGGACUUUAAUAUUCUUUUUCAUGGUCACACCGGAGCUCUAAUUUUUGAGACUUCAAGUCACUGUAAAAAAACAUGGCCAACCUUUGACGCACUUAAUUGAAUUGUGCGACAUGAUGAGAAUUGAAUUAUGUUAUCGAAAAAGAAAAAUCCUUGUUAUUGGGUGAGAAUUUUGUAGGAUUUACUUCAUAUAUGCCCAGAGAAAUUAUGAGAAGUUGAGAACUUUUGUACACAGCACAUAUAUAUGUUGAUGA